GGUGAACGUUGGCGGCGCGUCUAAUACAUGCAAGUCGAGCGAGGCUUCGAGCCGAGCGGCGGACGGCUGAGUAACACGUUGGUAAUUACCCCGUACUCAGGGAUAACACUGAGAAAUCAGUGCUAAUACCGGAUGGUCCCGAAAGGGUAAAGAUUUAUCGGUACGGGAGGUGCCUGCGGCCUAUCAGCUAGUUGGUGAGGUAAUGGCUCACCAAGGCUAUGACGGGUAACUGGUCUGAGAGGACGACCAGUCAGAGGGAAACUGAGACACGGUUCCCACUCCUACGGGAGGCAGCAGUAAAGAAUCUUCCGCAAUGGACGCAAGUCUGACGGAGCGACGCCGCGUGCAGGAUGAAGGCCUUCGGGUCGUAAACUGCUUUCUGAGAGAAUAAUUACUGAAUGUAUCUCAGGAAUAAGCACCGGCAAAUCACGUGCCAGCAGCCGCGGUAAAGU
Molecule: ribosomal RNA, 452 nt
Filed under: uncultured bacterium
Lineage: Bacteria
Description: bacterial SSU rRNA
Rfam family: Bacterial small subunit ribosomal RNA
Source: RNAcentral